This is a long non-coding RNA of Rhipicephalus sanguineus (brown dog tick), 3309 nucleotides long. RefSeq lists it as uncharacterized. The record is from RefSeq and is a predicted model, not a curated record. The transcript is spliced from 3 exons. NCBI's taxonomy places the organism in Eukaryota, Metazoa, Arthropoda, Arachnida, Ixodida, Ixodidae.
UACAGUUUCCCUUCUCUAAACUGGUUCUUUAUUCUAUGACGUAACGGCAGGUAACGGUUCACGGUGCAUUCGGAUGGGUCUCGCGCUCUUUCGUUUCGCUGUAAAAGUUUCCAGCCACUGCCGGCCGAGACACUCGCUUUCGUUCUGUUUGUUUUGACUCGUUGAAAUGCUUUCGCGAAACGCAUUCAGCAGACUUCGGGAGAACGAAGGGACCGUUGAAGCGUUCACCGGAUGAACACUCGUUUCAAGCCCGAGAAUAUACGAACCGCCUCCUGGUCUGACAAAGAAACAGCUGUGUGCAAUGAGCAAGGCACCUGUUACAUGACACGCCUGUAAAGAAGCUAGCCCGAGUGAAACAACAUGCAUUAUAAGGAUUGCCGGGCAACGACAGGAUGACUACCCCCGAAUGUCCACUCUGCAAGUGCGGCGAAACAUGUGAACGUCUGCUACAACAGGUCAUCUUGAACCUCACGCUUGCAAUGCUGUAUUUGUGAAUGGUUUACCAGGCAUCUCAUGGAGGUGUGCCUACAAUCGUCCACAAGUAUUAGCUGUCUACUGUGUCAUGCAACCUACACCGCAAUAGCGUUGAAAUUGAGCACUAGCUCCGUGCAUUAGUUACGUUACCUGGCACUGCUGAGCUCAACGACGCAGGUUUUAUACCCAGCCACGGUGGUCACAUUUCAUUGGGGGCGAAAUGCAAAGACACUCGUGUGCUUAGAUGUGCGUCUGAAGUUCAGGGAAAGACGAAAGCUUGAAGAGACGAAGCAUUUGUUAACAAGAGGUGUCGCUGGAGCAAAUGUUUCGACAAGCAGUCUUGUCUUCUUCAAGGCUACAACUGCGUUUGUUUAACUCCAGUCAGUUAGAAUCAAUCUAGAGUUGCCCACUACUGUAUGACUCAUAAUCAUAUCAUGCUUUGCAUGUGAAUCAUCAGAAAUUAUAAAUUUAAGGGUAAAUAUAUAGAAGUCUGUCUGGCUGGGCAAGAUUAUAAGAAUAAAAACGCUCUCCAGCCACAUUUAAUCAUUAGUCUUCUUAAUUUAAAAAAAAACUAAGAGACCAAACGGGUCCCGAAACGUAGGGUCAGUUUUUUUUAAAUUAUAAAUCACAUUACAAAACAAACAUCACGGCAGUGAGAGGAAUUAACAGUCUUUCCAACAUCUAAUAAUAUCUAGGGUUUAACAUCCCAAAAUCGCGAUACACCGUAGUGGAGGGCUCCGCAAAUUUCGACCACCUGGGGUUCUUUGACGUGCACCUAAACCUAAGUACACGGGCCUCAAACAUUUUCGCCUCCAUCGAAAAUACAGCUGCCGCGCAACGUAAAUGCAACGUUUAGUUGUGCCUUAUGAGACAGUUUACACACUAUGCUCAAAACUGUUUUGCCUUAAUUAACUGUGUUUAGAUCAUAGAAGUUUACAAAAAGAUACGACAAAGCUUUACAAGGCUGUGCUCAAUUACAUUAGCCUUUGCACAUAUGUUCAAUGGGCUCCUUCAAAUUAUUUACAGCUAAUAAACAAAUUAUAAGUGUGACGAGCACCUCUUCCAGCACAGCUUCACCAAGCACGUUUACGUUGUCGUGAUGAGUGAGAUUGUGUUCAGUGAGUAUGGUAGUGUUUUCUUUUUUGCAUAGCAGAGAAACGUGCCAAAUUUGUUUGAACACACCUACUUCUGCUGUUUGAUUAAAUUAACAUGUCGCAGUUGUAGCACCUACCACUAUGAAGUGAAAAUCUGUAAACUACUGUCACGAAAAAAAACCUAGGAAAUCGAAGAGGUAAUUUAAAACAUACAUGAACUUGGACUUAUCCACAGCCACACUACAAGAUUUUACGUAUUGUCAAGGGGUCGUGACGUCGACGAAAGCAGCAGUCGGUGUGUCCAAGAUGAAACUUUUUAUUCGGCCGAACUUGUGGCCGGGAAACGAAAAGUCAAACUACAGCAAUACACACUGCACACUGAUAGCGGCGAACAGGCGUCAGCCGUCGAUAAACUGAUCUGUGGCAAGGCGCGUCGGCAUUUAUACCUGCGGCAUCGAACAUUCGAGCAUUAUCACUGGUGGCUGCGUUAGUUCGACAAUCAACUGAGCUGUUUGCAAUUGCACGCUCCAGCCUAGCAGAAGAUCCUAAAAUAAUCUGGAAUGUUCCCAGACAUUCUGGCACGGUUUGUGCAAUGCAAUAACUACACGUGCAAUUGGCCAAUAACAUAAAACAUAGAAAGAAAGGAGCGCAUGUGACAGUAUUUCAAGCCGGAGCUUCUAAAAGUAGCAGGAAGAAUACAUACUUGUGCUCCCAAGCCCAAAUAUAUUGAAAAAGUAAAUAACACAAUAACAAGUAUGCAAUAUAUAUAUGACCUUUAUUUAUCCAGCAUUGGCACAGGUUCACAUCGUGCCCCACAGUUUGAUUUCGUGAGUGUUUGCUUGCAACAGAGUGCUCAAGUUCUAUCGACAUGUCUAUGUGAUACAGAGAUUGUGCUUACGGCUGAGCAGUUGUUUAGUGUUCUGUGCGAACACCAACGAAGAUGUACACUGCAUGCCUAAAGCUUAUUUUCUUAGAAUUGUGCUUCUAGAAUCUGUAAGCACUCGCCUUAUAUCUCUGUUUCUUUAGCAUUCAUCUACGCUGCAUACUCAGCAGUCCGAUUACUACUAGCGCCAAGAAAUUCUAGCUGUAGAAACUGUGUAACUGAACUAUAUCGAGGAACAAAACGAGCCUGAAAUAUUUUCUUCCACCUAUUACCUGAAUACGUACUACCUAUGGUAUGGCUUCACGGCCGAGAAAUUCGUGCCUGCCCUGUAGACACAACGCGAUAUUCCUUAUUUGUAACGCAUUCAAGGUGACAUCGCAGAGCGAGAAAGAUGCAGAACUGUACGCAUCCGCGAUUGUUUACGUAAAAGAUUAAUCAAAACUACAUUGCUCUCACUGCGCCAACUAUCUGUCGGCGUAGCGCACGUUUCGUUUCCGACUCCACACCAUGCACUCAAAGAUCAACGCAACCUGGGAAGCGCCGCAUAACUAAAGGAAGGAUAAGACCGUUGUCCUAAAGCUAUGCUGUUAAAACUCGGACGCUGCUACACAACGAGAGCAACGUUCUUUCAGCGAUCUCGGUGUUCAGUUAUAUGCACAUAUUUGUCAGCUUUCAGACCGAUUACACGCGUACGGGUUGAAAGCUUUCGACGUGUAUGAGUGACUUGUUUUGCUUGGACCUGACUGUAUAUAUUGCUUGUACCAUGGCUUGUACCACCUUGGGGACUCACAAUAAACGAUGCAAACCUUACUUGAUUGACGCUGUUUUUGCCAGUCGAGGCCAGUUUGGUCACCUGGC